RNAcentral lists this ribosomal RNA (502 nucleotides) under uncultured organism. RNAcentral describes it as "SSU rRNA". It matches the Rfam family "Bacterial small subunit ribosomal RNA", at positions 497 to 997 of the family's 1533-position model. The record is from RNAcentral.
UCGCCCUUGUGCCAGCAGCCGCGGUAAUACGUAGGGUGCGAGCGUUGUCCGGAAUUACUGGGCGUAAAGAGCUCGUAGGUGGUUUGUCGCGUUGUUCGUGAAAACUCACAGCUUAACUGUGGGCGUGCGGGCGAUACGGGCAGACUAGAGUACUGCAGGGGAGACUGGAAUUCCUGGUGUAGCGGUGGAAUGCGCAGAUAUCAGGAGGAACACCGGUGGCGAAGGCGGGUCUCUGGGCAGUAACUGACGCUGAGGAGCGAAAGCGUGGGGAGCGAACAGGAUUAGAUACCCUGGUAGUCCGCGCCGUAAACGGUGGGUACUAGGUGUGGGUUCCUUCCUUGGGAUCCGUGCCGUAGCUAACGCAUUAAGUACCCCGCCUGGGGAGUACGGCCGCAAGGCUAAAACUCAAAGGAAUUGACGGGGGCCCGCACAAGCGGCGGAGCAUGUGGAUUAAUUCGAUGCAACGCGAAGAACCUUACCUGGGUUUGACAUGCACAGGACG